GUUGGCUUAGUGGCGUUCAUGGGUGCUGGAUUUAGGUUCCAGUGACGAAAGUCGUGGGGGUUCGAGUCCCUUCGCCCGCACCA
RNAcentral lists this transfer RNA (83 nucleotides) under Chelatococcus asaccharovorans. RNAcentral's name for it is "Pseudo tRNA". Lineage: Bacteria; Pseudomonadati; Pseudomonadota; Alphaproteobacteria; Hyphomicrobiales; Chelatococcaceae. The record is from RNAcentral.